Molecule: long non-coding RNA, 1322 nt
Filed under: Ficedula albicollis (Collared flycatcher)
Lineage: Eukaryota; Metazoa; Chordata; Aves; Passeriformes; Muscicapidae
Description: lncRNA (ENSFALG00000028130.1)
Source: RNAcentral
CCCCCCCCCCCCCCCCCCCCCCCCCCCCCCCCCCCCCCCCCCCCCCCCCCCCCCCCCCCCCCCCCCCCCCCCCCCCCCCCCCCGGGGAUAGAGCGGGGAGGGAGCGGGGAUAGAGCGGGAUAGAGCGGGAUAGAGCGAGGAGAGAGCGGGGACAGGGCGGGGGAUAGAGCGGGAUAGAGCGGGGACAGAGCGGGACAGGGAGGGGACAGAGCGGGAGCGGGAUAGAGCGGGGACAGAGCGGGGAUAGAGCGGGAUAGAGCGAGGAGAGAGCGGGGACAGGGCGGGGAGAGAGCGGGGAUAGGGAGGGGAGAGAGCGGGGAUAGGGAGGGGAUAGAGCGGGAUAGAGCGGGAUAGAGCGGGGACAGAGCGGGGAUAGAGCGGGAUAGAGCGAGGAGAGAGCGGGGACAGGGCGGGGAGAGAGCGGGGAUAGGGAGGGGAGAGAGCGGGGAUAGGGAGGGGAUAGAGCGGGAUAGAGCGGGAUAGAGCGGGGACAGAGCGGGGAUAGAGCGGGAUAGAGCGAGGAGAGAGCGGGGACAGGGCGGGGAGAGAGCGGGGAUAGGGAGGGGAGAGAGCGGGGAUAGGGAGGGGAUAGAGCGGGAUAGAGCGGGAUAGAGCGGGGACAGAGCGGGGAUAGAGCGGGAUAGAGCGAGGAGAGAGCGGGGACAGGGCGGGGAGAGAGCGGGGAUAGGGAGGGGAGAGAGCGGGGAUAGGGAGGGGAUAGAGCGGGAUAGAGCGGGAUAGAGCGGGGACAGAGCGGGGACAGGGCGGGGAGAGAGCGGGGAUAGAGCGGGGAGAGAGCGGGGACAGGGCGGGGAGAGAGCGGGGAUAGAGCGGGGAGAGAGCGGGGACAGAGCGGGGACAGGGAAGGGUAGAGCGGGGACAGGGAGGGGAUAGAGCGGGGACAGGGCGGGGAGAGAGUGGGACACCACUCCCAUGUCCCUCAGCCCCAAGGGACAUGAGUGGAAUUGCUCCCAUGUCCCUCAGCCCCAAGGGACAUGAGUGGCAUUGCUCCCAUGUCCCUCAUCCCAAAGGGACACCACUGACACCAUUCCCAUGUCCCUCAUCCCAAAGGGACACCACUGACACCAUUCCCAUGUCCCUCAGCCCCCGGGGACACCCAAGGGCUCCCAUGUCCCUCAGCCCCAAGGGACAUUAGUGGCAUUGCUCCCAUGUCCCUCAUCCCAAAGGGACACCACUGACACCAGUCCCAUGUCCCUCAGCCCCCGGGGACACCAGUGACACCAUUCCCAUGUCCCUCAGCCCCAGGGGACACCCAAGGGCUCCCAUGUCCCUGCUCCUGUGUCACUGUCACCUGCAUCCCU